ACUCCUACGGGAGGCAGCAGUGGGGAAUAUUGCACAAUGGGCGCAAGCCUGAUGCAGCCAUGCCGCGUGUAUGAAGAAGGCCUUCGGGUUGUAAAGUAACUUUCUAGCAGUGAGGAAGGCGGGUACGUUAAUAGCGUGCUCGUUUGACGUUAGCUGCAGAAGAAGCACCGGCUAACUCCGUGCCAGCAGCCGCGGUAAUACGGAGGGUGCGAGCGUUAAUCGGAAUUACUGGGCGUAAAGCGCAUGCAGGUGGUUUGUUAAGUCAGAUGUGAAAGCCCGGGGCUCAACCUCGGAAUUGCAUUUGAAACUGGCAGACUAGAGUACUGUAGAGGGGGGUAGAAUUUCAGGUGUAGCGGUGAAAUGCGUAGAGAUCUGAAGGAAUACCGGUGGCGAAGGCGGCCCCCUGGACAGAUACUGACACUCAGAUGCGAAAGCUGGGGGAGCAAACAGGAUUAGAUACCCUGGUAGGAUAGCG
RNAcentral lists this ribosomal RNA (475 nucleotides) under uncultured bacterium. Its description in RNAcentral is "bacterial SSU rRNA". It matches the Rfam family "Bacterial small subunit ribosomal RNA", at positions 335 to 801 of the family's 1533-position model. The record is from RNAcentral.